GAUGAACGCUGGCGGCGUGCCUAAUACACGCAAGUCGAGCGAACAGACGAGGAGCUUGCUCCUCUGACGUUAGCGGCGGACGGGUGAGUAACACGUGGAUAACCUACCUAUAAGACUGGGAUAACUUCGGGAAACCGGAGCUAAUACCGGAUAAUAUAUUGAACCGCAUGGUUCAAUAGUGAAAGACGGUUUUGCUGUCACUUAUAGAUGGAUCCGCGCCGCAUUAGCUAGUUGGUAAGGUAACGGCUUGCCAAGGCAACGAUGCGUAGCCGACCUGAGAGGGUGAUCGGCCACACUGGAACUGAGACACGGUCCAGACUCCUACGGGAGGCAGCAGUAGGGAAUCUUCCGCAAUGGGCGAAAGCCUGACGGAGCAACGCCGCGUGAGUGAUGAAGGUCUUCGGAUCGUAAAACUCUGUUAUUAGGGAAGAACAAAUGUGUAAGUAACUAUGCACGUCUUGACGGUACCUAAUCAGAAAGCCACGGCUAACUACGUG
Molecule: ribosomal RNA, 497 nt
Filed under: uncultured bacterium
Lineage: Bacteria
Description: partial 16S ribosomal RNA
Rfam family: Bacterial small subunit ribosomal RNA
Source: RNAcentral